UGACCUCGGAUCAGGUAGGAAGACCCGCUGAACUUAAGCAUAUCAAUAAGCGGAGGAAAAGAAACCAACAGGGAUUGCCCUAGUAACGGCGAGUGAAGCGGCAACAGCUCAAAUUUGAAAUCUGGCUUCGGCCCGAGUUGUAAUUUGCAGAGGAAGCUUUAGGCGCGGCACCUUCUGAGUCCCCUGGAACGGGGCGCCAUAGAGGGUGAGAGCCCCGUAUAGUUGGAUGCCUAGCCUGUGUAAAGCUCCUUCGACGAGUCGAGUAGUUUGGGAAUGCUGCUCAAAAUGGGAGGUAAAUUUCUUCUAAAGCUAAAUACCGGCCAGAGACCGAUAGCGCACAAGUAGAGUGAUCGAAAGAUGAAAAGCACUUUGAAAAGAGGGUUAAAUAGCACGUGAAAUUGUUGAAAGGGAAGCGCUUGUGACCAGACUUGCGCCGGGCGGAUCAUCCGGUGUUCUCACCGGUGCACUCCGCCCGGCUCAGGCCAGCAUCGGUUCUCGCGGGGGGAUAAAGGUCCUGGGAACGUAGCUCCUCCGGGAGUGUUAUAGCCCGGGGCGUAAUGCCCUCGCGGGGACCGAGGUUCGCGCAUCUGCAAGGAUGCUGGCGUAAUGGUCAUCAGCGACCCGUCUUGAAACACGGACCAAGGAGUCAAGGUUUUGCGCGAGUGUUUGGGUGUAAAACCCGCACGCGUAAUGAAAGUGAACGUAGGUGAGAGCUUCGGCGCAUCAUCGACCGAUCCUGAUGUUUUCGGAUGGAUUUGAGUAGGAGCGUUAAGCCUUGGACCCGAAAGAAUGGUGAACUAUGCUUGGAUAGGGUGAAGCCAGAGGAAACUCUGGUGGAAGGCUCGCAGCCGGUUCUGACGUGCAAAUCGAUCGUCAAAUCUGAGCAUGGGGGCGAAAAGACUAAUCGAAACCAUCUAGUAGCUGGUUACCGCCGAAGUUUCCCUCAGGAUAGCAGUGUUGUCUUCAGUUUUAUGAGGUAAAAGCGAAUGAUUAGGGACUCGGGGGCGCUUUUUAGCCUUCAUCCAUUCUCAAACUUUAAAUAUGUAAGAAGCCCUUGUUACUUAAUUGAACGUGGGCAUUCGAAUGUACCAACACUAGUGGGCCAUUUUUGGUAAGCAGAACUGGCGAUGCGGGAUGAACCGAACGCGGGGUUAAGGUGCCGGAGUGGACGCUCAUCAGACACCACAAAAGGCGUUAGUACAUCUUGACAGCAGGACGGUGGCCAUGGAAGUCGGAAUCCGCUAAGGACUGUGUAACAACUCACCUGCCGAAUGUACUAGCCCUGAAAAUGGAUGGCGCUCAAGCGUCCCACCCAUACCCCGCCCUCAGGGUAGAAACGAUGCCCUGAGGAGUAGGCGGCCGUGGAGGUCAGUGACGAAGCCUAGGGCGUGAGCCCGGGUCGAACGGCCUCUAGUGCAGAUCUUGGUGGUAGUAGCAAAUACUUCAAUGAGAACUUGAAGGACCGAAGUGGGGGAAAGGUUCCAUGUGAACAGCGGUUGGACAUGGGUUAGUCGAUCGCCUAAGCCAUAGGGAAGUUCCGUUUCAAAGGGGCACUCGUGCCCCGUGUGGCGAAAGGGAAGCCGGUUAACAUUCCGGCACCUGGAUGUGGGUUUUGCGCGGUAACGCAACUGAACACGGAGACGACGGCGGGGGCCCCGGGCAGAGUUCUCUUUACUUCUUAACGGUCCAUCACCCUGAAAACAGUUUGUCUGGAGAUAGGGUUAACGGCCGGAAGAGCCCGACACUUCUGUCGGGAGCGGGGCGCUCUCGACGUCCCUUGAGAAUCCCUGGGAGGGAAUAAUUCUCGCGCCAGGUCGUACUCAUAACCGCAGCAGGGCUCCCAAG
This 1845-nucleotide non-coding RNA is filed under the name Chaetomium globosum CBS 148.51. RNAcentral's name for it is "Eukaryotic large subunit ribosomal RNA". It matches the Rfam family "Eukaryotic large subunit ribosomal RNA", at positions 1 to 1871 of the family's 3401-position model. The record is from Rfam by way of RNAcentral. Lineage: Eukaryota; Fungi; Ascomycota; Sordariomycetes; Sordariales; Chaetomiaceae.